CCUGAAGGAAUUAACCAGACUUUAAAUAUACUUCUAAGCAUAUCUGGAGUUAUUAAUUUUAUUCUAUCCUUUAGAAUAUGCAUUUUAAAUGUUGUUAUCCAUAGCUAAAACAACAAUAUAAAUCUAAAAAAAAAAAAUUAGACAGCAUAAUAUUAUGGGUUUCAGAAAGUUAUGCACUUCCUCUUAACUUGCCUCUGAAACCCAGGACUGCAUGUAUUAGUUUAUAAAUCUUCCACUCAAAACUCUGAAUAGGCUUCAAAUCCUUGCAAGUUGUUUCAAUUAAUGAAGUGACAGAACUGUUUUCUAAAAAGACACUAAGGAAAAAUUUGCAGUAAGGCAAUAUAUUUCUACUGUCAGCAUAAAUGCAAACACUACUAAGACUAAAAAUCAGUGUGGUUUUGUGCUUUUACACAUCAGUUUGUUCUUUUUUUUUUUUUAAAGCCAGAAGCCAAAAAAUAACAGUCUCGUUCUCAAUUAAGGAAAAAAAUACAGAAACACCACACGUGUGUUUCUCACAAGUCACAGUCAUUGCUAAAGGUUCAUUUCAAGCAGAGGAAUCCUGAAGAUUCUACCACUUUUAAGGACUCUACAUAGCUGAGCCACGACAGGAUGUGUAUCCUGUGAGAAGACUCUUUCCAUCAUCCUCCUAAGCAUCUGCUUCAAGGCAUCUGGAUGAACAAGAAAAGCUAAAUCCCCUUGUAUCCUGUAUCCUCCCACAGGACAUAAAAAAAAAAAGAUACACUGCAGGCAGGAGAGGAAAUGCACUUUCCCUUCUGAACAACAGAUGACCAGAGAAAAGACCAGGCUAACAAAAUCCGGGGAUGACAAUUCCUCAGUUGUCCUGAACCUCUCAUCAAGAAGAAAAGGCGCUUGUUCUACACCAUAAAAAAAUGAAGUUGCUCUGUUCCUAGAAAACAAAUGUUUACCUGAAUGUUUAUUGCCUAUCCUAGAGAAACGGCUUUAGCAUGUACUGAAAAUUGGUUGAGAAGAGUCAUUCAACUUCUGGCACUUCCAUUUCAAAUUCCAGGAGAUACCCAGAGAUGAAUGUUGACAGCAAAAAUGCUUAGCACUCCUCCUCCUCCACAGAGUGAGAAGAAAUAUACAUCACCUAAAUCAUGUAUUUAUUAACUGUUUUCACACUUGCACGAGCACUCACAACUGAGUACAGUCCUCUUUACGUACCUUUACUGCACCAUCCCGUUCAUCAAAAUGAAUGAAAGCGUAGUCUUUUAGCUUCUUCACUCGCUCUAGCUUUCCAAACUGACUGAAGGCCUUUUCUAGUAUCUCCUCUGUUACAGUGUUGGCGAGAUUGCGGACAAACAGAACUUUUACCUAGAAAGCAAAUUAGUUAAGAUUUAGAAGUGUGAUCCAAAAGACCAAAUAAAGUUUUGCAAAUCGUUA
This is a long non-coding RNA of Gallus gallus (chicken), 1401 nucleotides long. RefSeq lists it as uncharacterized. The transcript has 2 exons. The record is from RefSeq and is a predicted model, not a curated record. Lineage: Eukaryota; Metazoa; Chordata; Aves; Galliformes; Phasianidae.